GUGAAUAGAGGCCAUUUUACCGCUCAUCAUAUUGGUGUCACCUCGGUAUUUGGCCAAGCCGCAGGCUCCCCUAAGCAACAAACAUCACGGUUGCCUGCGAAAGGCAACAAUCACGACCUACUACGCACGCGCAAGGGGGGGAGGGACUGCAUGCUAAUGGGCUCUCCGGAAUGUAGUGAAUAUGUAUCCAAAUUCCUGUCCACUAUUGAUUAUGUAUUAGUUCGACCUAUAUCUAUAGAACGAUUUCUCCUGACGGUGUGCAAGUUAGGUGGAACGAUCCCCCUUGCACCAGGGUGUACGCGUGUCACCAAUAAACACAUGCCUGCUCUAUAUCCU
Molecule: long non-coding RNA, 336 nt
Filed under: Gallus gallus (chicken)
Lineage: Eukaryota; Metazoa; Chordata; Aves; Galliformes; Phasianidae
Source: RNAcentral